UACGUAGGUGGCGAGCGUUGUCCGGAUUUAUUGGGCGUAAAGCGCGCGUAGGCGGCUUUGCAAGUCGGGUGUGAAAUCCCCAGGCUUAACCUGGGAACUGCAUUCGAGACUGCAUUGCUAGAGUAUGGGAGAGGGAAGUGGAAUUUCCUGUGUAGCGGUGAAAUGCGUAGAUAUCGGAAGGAACAUCAGUGGCGAAAGCGACUUCCUGGACCAAUACUGACGCUCAUGUGCGAAAGCGUGGGGAGCAAACAGG
Molecule: ribosomal RNA, 253 nt
Filed under: uncultured bacterium
Lineage: Bacteria
Description: partial 16S ribosomal RNA
Rfam family: Bacterial small subunit ribosomal RNA
Source: RNAcentral